RNAcentral lists this ribosomal RNA (253 nucleotides) under uncultured bacterium. RNAcentral's name for it is "partial 16S ribosomal RNA". It matches the Rfam family "Bacterial small subunit ribosomal RNA", at positions 524 to 776 of the family's 1533-position model. The record is from RNAcentral.
UACGGGGGGGGCAAGCGUUGUUCGGAAUUACUGGGCGUAAAGGGCUCGUAGGCGGCCAACUAAGUCAGACGUGAAAUCCCUCGGCUUAACCGGGGAACUGCGUCUGAUACUGGAUGGCUCGAGUUUGGGAGAGGGAUGCGGAAUUCCAGGUGUAGCGGUGAAAUGCGUAGAUAUCGGAAGGAACGCCGGUGGCGAAAGCGGCGUGCUGGAUCUUCACUGACGCUGAUGCGCGAAAGCCAGGGGAGCAAACGGG